CGGGGUGUAGCGCAGCUGGCUAGCGCACUUCGUUAGGGACGAAGGGGUCGCGUGUUCAAAUCACGUCACUCCGA
RNAcentral lists this transfer RNA (74 nucleotides) under Lachnospiraceae bacterium. RNAcentral describes it as "tRNA-Pro". It matches the Rfam family "tRNA". Rfam says of the family: Transfer RNA (tRNA) molecules are approximately 80 nucleotides in length. Their secondary structure includes four short double-helical elements and three loops (D, anti-codon, and T loops). Further hydrogen bonds mediate the characteristic L-shaped molecular structure. tRNAs have two regions of fundamental functional importance: the anti-codon, which is responsible for specific mRNA codon recognition, and the 3' end, to which the tRNAs corresponding amino acid is attached (by aminoacyl-tRNA synthetases). tRNAs cope with the degeneracy of the genetic code in two manners: having more than one tRNA (with a specific anti-codon) for a particular amino acid; and 'wobble' base-pairing, i.e. permitting non-standard base-pairing at the 3rd anti-codon position. Lineage: Bacteria; Bacillati; Bacillota; Clostridia; Lachnospirales; Lachnospiraceae. The record is from RNAcentral.